This 701-nucleotide ribosomal RNA is filed under the name uncultured marine microorganism. RNAcentral describes it as "bacterial SSU rRNA". It matches the Rfam family "Bacterial small subunit ribosomal RNA", at positions 8 to 688 of the family's 1533-position model. The record is from RNAcentral.
AGAGUUUGAUCAUGGCUCAGAUUGAACGCUGGCGGCAGGCCUAACACAUGCAAGUCGAGCGGAAACGAGUUAUCUGAACCUUCGGGGAACGAUAACGGCGUCGAGCGGCGGACGGGUGAGUAAUGCCUAGGAAAUUGCCUUGAUGUGGGGGAUAACCAUUGGAAACGAUGGCUAAUACCGCAUAAUGCCUACGGGCCAAAGAGGGGGACCUUCGGGCCUCUCGCGUCAAGAUAUGCCUAGGUGGGAUUAGCUAGUUGGUGAGGUAAUGGCUCACCAAGGCGACGAUCCCUAGCUGGUCUGAGAGGAUGAUCAGCCACACUGGAACUGAGACACGGUCCAGACUCCUACGGGAGGCAGCAGUGGGGAAUAUUGCACAAUGGGCGAAAGCCUGAUGCAGCCAUGCCGCGUGUAUGAAGAAGGCCUUCGGGUUGUAAAGUACUUUCAGUUGUGAGGAAGGGGGUGUCGUUAAUAGCGGCAUCUCUUGACGUUAGCAACAGAAGAAGCACCGGCUAACUCCGUGCCAGCAGCCGCGGUAAUACGGAGGGUGCGAGCGUUAAUCGGAAUUACUGGGCGUAAAGCGCAUGCAGGUGGUUCAUUAAGUCAGAUGUGAAAGCCCGGGGCUCAACCUCGGAACUGCAUUUGAAACUGGUGAACUAGAGUACUGUAGAGGGGGGUAGAAUUUCAGGUGUAGCGGUGAAAUG